Molecule: ribosomal RNA, 435 nt
Filed under: uncultured bacterium
Lineage: Bacteria
Description: partial 16S ribosomal RNA
Rfam family: Bacterial small subunit ribosomal RNA
Source: RNAcentral
AGCGAACGCUGGCGGCAGGCUUAACACAUGCAAGUCGAGCGGGCGUAGCAAUACGUCAGCGGCAGACGGGUGGGCAACCCGUGGGAACGUACCUUUUGGUUCGGAACAACACCGGGAAACUUGUGCUAAUACCGGAUAAGCCCUUACGGGGAAAGAUUCAUCGCCGAAAGAUCGGCCCGCGUCUGAUUAGCUAGUUGGUGAGGUAACGGCUCACCAAGGCGACGAUCAGUAGCUGGUCUGAGAGGAUGAUCAGCCACAUUGGGACUGAGACACGGCCCAAACUCCUACGGGAGGCAGCAGUGGGGAAUAUUGGACAAUGGGGGCAACCCUGAUCCAGCCAUGCCGCGUGAGUGAUGAAGGCCCUAGGGUUGUAAAGCUCUUUUGUGCGGGAAGAUAAUGACGGUACCGCAAGAAUAAGCCCCGGCUAACUUCGUG